Molecule: ribosomal RNA, 433 nt
Filed under: uncultured bacterium
Lineage: Bacteria
Description: partial 16S ribosomal RNA
Rfam family: Bacterial small subunit ribosomal RNA
Source: RNAcentral
AACGAACGCUGGCGGCAUGCCUAACACAUGCAAGUCGAACGAGACCUUCGGGCCUAGUGGCGCAUGGGUGGGUAACGGGUGGGAAUCUACCCUCAGGUUCGCCAUAACUCAGAGAAAUUUGUGCUAAUACCGGAUGAUGUCGUAAGUCCAACGAUUUAUAGCCUGAGGAUGAGCCUGCGUAGGAUUAGGUAGUGGUUGAGGUAAAGGGGAAUAAAGCCGACGAUCGUUAGCUGGUGUGUGAGGAUGAUCAGCGACACUGGGCCUGGGACACGGCCCGGACUCCUAGGGAAUGCAGCAAAGCGUAAUAUAGCACAAUGGGCGAAGGCCUGAUGCAGCUAUGCCGCGAAAGUGAUUAAAGCCGGAGGGAUGUGAAGCACGUUUACCCGUGAUGAUAAUGACGUUACCGGGAGAAUAAGCUCCGGCUAACUCCGUG